Mesocricetus auratus (golden hamster) is the source of this 336-nucleotide non-coding RNA. NCBI's taxonomy places the organism in Eukaryota, Metazoa, Chordata, Mammalia, Rodentia, Cricetidae. The record is from Rfam.
AGAUGUGAGGGUGAUCUGGCUGCGAUAUCUGUUAACCCAUUGAUCGCCAGGGUGAUUCCGCUGAUCUGGCUGGCUAAAUGGAUGUCCCCUUUCUCUCACAUCUGCUCCAUGUGCAUCCCUCCUGAAGAUGCCCACUUGGGUCAAAGAGGACAGCCUUCCCCAAUAGAGGAGGAGCAGUCUUUGGUCAAGGAGGUUCUAGCGCUCCCCUGCUAGAACCUCCAAACAAGCUCUCAAGAGCCCAGCAUUUCUGUAUGGACCAUGUACACUAUUUUUGAACUGUAUUAAGUAUGGUAAUACUGACAUCCUUUGUCACAUCAGUUAGCUAGGAGACUAUUC